UACGGAGGGUCCGAGCGUUAUCCGGAAUCAUUGGGUUUAAAGGGUCCGUAGGCGGAUCAGUAAGUCAGGGGUGAAAGUUUGCGGCUCAACCGUAAAAUUGCCUUUGAUACUGCUGGUCUUGAGUUACGAUGAAGUGGCCGGAAUAUGUGGUGUAGCGGUGAAAUGCAUAGAUAUCACAUAGAACACCGAUUGCGAAGGCAGGUCACUAAUCGUGGACUGACGCUGAUGGACGAAAGCGUGGGGAGCAAACGGGAUUAGAUACCCCGGUAGUCCACGCCGUAAACGAUGGACACUAGCUGUCGGGCUUUAAAGUUCGGCGGCCAAGCGAAAGUGAUAAGUGUCCCACCUGGGGAGUACGUUCGCAAGAAUGAAACUCAAAGGAAUUGACGGGGGCCCGCACAAGCGGUGGAGCAUGUGGUUUAAUUCGAUGAUACGCGAGGAACCUUACCAGGGCUUAAAUGUAGUGGGACAGGCUUAGAGAUAGGCUUUUCUUCGGACUCAUUACAAGGUGCUGCAUGGUUGUCGUCAGCUCGUGCCGUGAGGUGUCAGGUUAAGUCCUAUAACGAGCGCAACCCUUACCGUUAGUUGCCAGCGAGUAGAGUCGGGGACUCUAACGGGACUGCCGGUGCAAACCGUGAGGAAGGUGGGGAUGACGUCAAAUCAUCACGGCCCUUACGUCCUGGGCUACACACGUGCUACAAUGGCCGGUACAAUGAGCAGCCACUUCGCAAGAAGGCGCGAAUCUAUAAAACCGGUCACAGUUCGGAUCGGGGUCUGCAACCCGACCCCGUGAAGCUGGAAUCGCUAGUAAUCGGAUAUCAGCCAUGAUCCGGUGAAUACGUUCCCGGGCCU
This 852-nucleotide ribosomal RNA is filed under the name uncultured bacterium. Its description in RNAcentral is "SSU rRNA". It matches the Rfam family "Bacterial small subunit ribosomal RNA", at positions 524 to 1381 of the family's 1533-position model. The record is from RNAcentral.